UUUGCGGGGAAUGUUGUCUGGGUCGAGGAAUCUACCAAACUAGAGAGAUAGAUGGAUAGAUCUGCUAUCUUCUUUUCCCUUCUUUUACGUUUGGUGAUCUCGGACCAGGCUUCAUUCCCCCCAAU
This 125-nucleotide microRNA precursor is filed under the name Musa acuminata subsp. malaccensis (wild Malaysian banana). Its description in RNAcentral is "mir-166 microRNA precursor family". It matches the Rfam family "mir-166 microRNA precursor family". Rfam says of the family: This family represents the plant microRNA (miRNA) precursor mir-166. Animal miRNAs are transcribed as ~70nt precursors and subsequently processed by the Dicer enzyme to give a ~22nt product. The record is from Rfam by way of RNAcentral. Lineage: Eukaryota; Viridiplantae; Streptophyta; Magnoliopsida; Zingiberales; Musaceae.